This 483-nucleotide ribosomal RNA is filed under the name uncultured bacterium. Its description in RNAcentral is "partial 16S ribosomal RNA". It matches the Rfam family "Bacterial small subunit ribosomal RNA", at positions 28 to 506 of the family's 1533-position model. The record is from RNAcentral.
AUUGAACGCUGGCGGCAUGCUUUACACAUGCAAGUCGAACGGCAGCGCGGGCUUCGGCUUGGCGGCGAUUGGCGAACGGGGGAGUAAUGCAUCGGAACGUGCCCAGUAGUGGGGGAUAGCCCGGCGAAAGCCGGAUUAAUACCCCAUACGACCUGAGGGUGAAAGCGGGGGACCGAAAGGCCUCCCGCUUUUGGAGCGGCCGAUUUCGGAUUAGCUAGUUGGUGGGGUAAAGGCUUACCAAGGCGACGAUCCGUAGCUGGUCUGAGAGGACGACCAGCCACACUGGGACUGAGACACGGCCCAGACUCCUACGGGAGGCAGCAGUGGGGAAUUUUGGACAAUGGGGGCAACCCUGAUCCAGCCAUGCCGCGUGCGGGAAGAAGGCCUUCGGGUUGUAAACCGCUUUUGUUCGGGAAGAAAUCCUCUGGGCUAAUACCCCGGGGGGAUGACGGUACCGGAAGAAUAAGCACCGGCUAACUACGU